UACGUAGGGGGCAAGCGUUGUCCGGAAUCAUUGGGCGUAAAGCGCGUGUAGGCGGCCCGGUAAGUCCGCUGUGAAAGUCGGGGGCUCAACCCUCGGAUGCCGGUGGAUACUGUCGGGCUAGAGUGCGGGAGAGGCGAGUGGAAUUCCUGGUGUAGCGGUGAAAUGCGCAGAUAUCAGGAGGAACACCAAUUGCGAAGGCAGCUCGCUGGAACGUAACUGACGCUGAGAACGCGAAAGCGUGGGGAGCAAACAGG
RNAcentral lists this ribosomal RNA (254 nucleotides) under uncultured bacterium. RNAcentral's name for it is "partial 16S ribosomal RNA". It matches the Rfam family "Bacterial small subunit ribosomal RNA", at positions 524 to 776 of the family's 1533-position model. The record is from RNAcentral.